This 1498-nucleotide long non-coding RNA is filed under the name Homo sapiens (human). RNAcentral's name for it is "non-protein coding lnc-ALG1L-2:17". The record is from RNAcentral. Lineage: Eukaryota; Metazoa; Chordata; Mammalia; Primates; Hominidae.
CAGGAUGAGCGUUAUGAGGCGGGGGCUUGGGGUGGGGCCAGGAUGAGCGUCAUGAGGGCGAGGCCUGGGGUAGGGCCAGGAUAAGCGUCGUUGGGGCAGGUCCUGGGGAGAGUUCAGGUUGGCGGGUCCUGGGGCGGGGCCAGGACAGGGCGAUCCUGGAAGCGGGGCUUCGGAAGCGUCCAGGUUGGAGGCGUCCUGGAGGCGGGGCCUUGCGUGGGGGCAGGAUAAGAGUCCUGGAGGCGGGCGUUAGGGUGGGGGUAAACGAUGAUUGGGUUCAGGAGGCGAGAGUCGGAGCAGAGCCCAGGAGACAGGUCUUAGGGCGGGGCUAAGGCCAGACCCAGAGAAGGGCUCAGGAGGCGGGGCCAGGGCGGGGCGUUGACUAUGUCGUAGCACGUUGCCAGGCACUGCUCGAACUCUGGGAGGCGGAUCUUAGGACAGGCCGACGUGGGGAGGGGCCCAGGGUCCGGGAGGCGGGGCCGAGUCUAGGCUGCGGGCUGCGCUCAGGAGGCGGGCCCUGGGAGGCGGAGCUUAGGGAGGGUCCGGUGUUGGCAGGGACCAAGGGACUGGGAGGCGGAUCGGGGCUGGGCUCAGGGGCCGAGAGGGAGCUGGGCUUGGGGCGGGGCCGAGACGGAGCGAGGGGUCCAGGGUGUGAGAAACGGGGAGGGGUUUGAGGAGGGGAUUGGAGUGUGGCUCAAGUUCGGGAGGCGUUACCUGCGGAGGGUUUGAGGCAGGCCCAGGAGCGAGCCCACGGUCUGCCGACGCGGGGCCAGCGGCGGGCCCCAGGAUCCGGAGCUUCGGGCGGGGCCGAGUCCAGCUGUUGUUCCCCACCAGAACCAAAUGAGCGCAAGAUCUGACAAAGAAAAAAAAAGGUUCAUCUUUUAUUCCGCCAAACACUUUCAUCUAAAUCAAGAGGGUGGGAUGUGGUUAUUGCUGUGUUUUUAGACAGAAUCAACAGUUUCUGGGUCUGAGAUAUUGCAUACACCCUCUCAGUCCCUGUAUCCUCAGAUGGAGUCACCUGAGAAUCCACAGCAAGUCCUAACCGGGGAUGGGUCUGGGUGGUUAAGGAAGGUUGGCCUCAGAACUGGGCCAGGGGCACUGCUUUGCUUUUGCUGUUUUGAUCAGCUCUCUGCCCGCAGGAGACAAGGAAAACCAAUGGGAACAGCCCAGUAAAGGCGCCAUUCCCCAUUUUACAGCUGGGGAAACUGAGUUACAGAGCUUGUCUACACUGAGUCAACAGGAGCAAAUGCUAGAUCAGGUCUAGCUGGAGUACAGUGAUGCAGUCAUAGCCCACUGCAGCCUCAAAAUUCCUGGGCUCAAGCAAUCCACCCACAUCAGCUUCCCAAGUAGUUGGGACUACAGGCCCACACUACUAUACCCAGGUAAUUAUUUUAAUUUUUGUAGAGAUGGCAGGUGGCGGUGAGGGGCGGGCAGUUUUGCUAUGUUGCCCAGGCUGGUCUCAAACUCGACCUCAAGUGAACCUCCUGCCUCAGCCCCACAA